RNAcentral lists this long non-coding RNA (361 nucleotides) under Trifolium pratense (red clover). Its description in RNAcentral is "long non-coding RNA (TPRA_LNC011134)". The record is from RNAcentral. Lineage: Eukaryota; Viridiplantae; Streptophyta; Magnoliopsida; Fabales; Fabaceae.
AACAGGUACAACUCUAACCAUCUGGAAGUUUCUCAGGCAAUCAACAAACAAGCUGGUAAUUUCAUGAUUGAUCGCUUUCGGCCUACUGUGAAGGCAAUGAUAUGCAAAACACAAGUGGUCUCUCUGGCUGAGAAAAGGGAGAUACAUACAUGAGAUGCUCCUCUCCUCUCACAAGAUAAGAUAUCGGGCUUGAUUUGCGUCCAUCUGCUACCAGAAAUAUACCAAUCAAAGGGAUGCAUUAUGACAUUUCAUAUUCAAGAUCAGUUUUGUUUCAAGUAUUAACCCGUCUUUCUUCAAACCAUGUUCUAUAAAAGCAAUAGUAUUAUUCAAUUCAAGUUCCUUGGCUAAUCUUGAUCUACAC